RNAcentral lists this non-coding RNA (71 nucleotides) under Mycobacterium marinum M. The record is from RNAcentral. Lineage: Bacteria; Bacillati; Actinomycetota; Actinomycetes; Mycobacteriales; Mycobacteriaceae. RNAcentral also lists the same sequence under 1 other name.
GCGCAUAACGGCGGUGGGGCUCGCCAUAACCGCCCGUCGCGAAAGCGAUGGCCAACGGUCCCUGCGGAACA